GCUGGGUUGGUCUAGUGGUAGGACAUCUGUCUCACAAGGAGCUGUUCCUAACAGUAUCUAUGAGCACAGAAGAUCGUGGGAUCAAACCCCACACCUAGUA
Non-coding RNA from Mollisiaceae sp. DMI_Dod_QoI, 100 nucleotides. Lineage: Eukaryota; Fungi; Ascomycota; Leotiomycetes; Helotiales; Mollisiaceae. The record is from the annotation of a GenBank genome assembly.